AAACUCAAUUUAAAUAGAUACAGUUUUGACGAUUUCAGAAACUAAGGAUCUUGCAUUCCAAAAACAACAACAACAACAACAACAAUUCUAGUAUAUUCCCGCAAGUAGGAUAUGGGGAGGGUAGUGUGUACGCAGACCUUACCCCUACCUAGUGAAGGAAGGAUCUUGCAUUCCGAUGAUAACAAUAUUCAUUUUGUCAAUAUGACCACAGAGGCCAUCAAGGACUUCAAAAGAUUCCUAGAAAGCAUCUCGAAACUACAUGUUCUGACCAUUACUUAAAAAACACAGUUUGAAGGAACAACAACAACUACGACUAUGUCCUAGUGAAAUCUCACUAGUGGGGUCUAGGGAGGGUAGCGUAUACAAAGAUUCCUACAGCACUUAAAGAACACAGUUUAAAGGAACAACAACUACUACGACGUCCUAGUGAAAUCUCACUAGUUGGGUCUAGGGAGGGUAGUGUAUACAAAGACCUUACCCCUACCCCGAGGGACAUAGAGGCUAUUUAUGAAAGGCCCUCGGCUCAAGAAUACGAAAAAGAAAAUGACAUA
This 551-nucleotide long non-coding RNA is filed under the name Nicotiana benthamiana. Its description in RNAcentral is "long non-coding RNA (NBEN_LNC032361)". The record is from RNAcentral. Lineage: Eukaryota; Viridiplantae; Streptophyta; Magnoliopsida; Solanales; Solanaceae.